CCAAAAUCUUCGCUCUCUCUUUUUCUCUCUCUCCGCCUUCUUCUCUCCUCUUCCCGUACUUUCAAAUUCCCUUUCUACCCUUCCUCUUUCCUCAAUUCUCAACUUUAUCCUCUCCCCCAGCGACCCUGCCCUUCUGCCGGCAGCGUUUUCAUGGACUCUUCUUCGCCGGAAGCCAUAGCCUCUGUCGACUCGCUCACAGAUAACUUCAAGAAUCAGAGUU
RNAcentral lists this unclassified non-coding RNA (220 nucleotides) under Hevea brasiliensis (rubber tree). The record is from RNAcentral. Lineage: Eukaryota; Viridiplantae; Streptophyta; Magnoliopsida; Malpighiales; Euphorbiaceae.